AGGAAUUUAGCAGAGAUGCUUUAGUGCCUUCGGGAACUCUGAGACAGGUGCUGCAUGGCUGUCGUCAGCUCGUGUUGUGAAAUGUUGGGUUAAGUCCCGNAACGAGCGCAACCCUUAUCCUUUGUUGCCAGCACGUAAUGGUGGGAACUCAAAGGAGACUGCCGGUGAUAAACCGGAGGAAGGUGGGGAUGACGUCAAGUCAUCAUGGCCCUUACGAGUAGGGCUACACACGUGCUACAAUGGCGCAUACAAAGAGAAGCGACCUCGCGAGAGCAAGCGGACCUCAUAAAGUGCGUCGUAGUCCGGAUUGGAGUCUGCAACUCGACUCCAUGAAGUCGGAAUCGCUAGUAAUCGUAAAUCAGAAUGUUACGGUGAAUACGUUCCCGGGCCUUGUACACACCGCCCGUCACACCAUGGGAGUGGGUUGCAAAAGAAGUAGAUAGCUUAACCUUCGGGAGGGCGUUUACCACUUUGUGAUUCAUGACUGGGGUGAAGUCGUAACAAGGUAAGCGUAGUGCU
This 519-nucleotide ribosomal RNA is filed under the name uncultured bacterium. RNAcentral's name for it is "bacterial SSU rRNA". It matches the Rfam family "Bacterial small subunit ribosomal RNA", at positions 992 to 1509 of the family's 1533-position model. The record is from RNAcentral.